GGUAGUGUGCUUGAUAAAAAGAUCGCUUUGAUAGAGCGGAAUAUGGGAGAUACCUCCUCACUAUUG
Molecule: transfer RNA, 66 nt
Filed under: Lebbeus groenlandicus
Lineage: Eukaryota; Metazoa; Arthropoda; Malacostraca; Decapoda; Hippolytidae
Description: tRNA-Ile
Source: RNAcentral